AUGACCUGGCGGCAGGCUUACACAUGCAAGUCGAGCGGUAACAGGAGAAGCUUGCUUCUCGCUGACGAGCGGCGGACGGGUGAGUAAUACUUAGGAAUCUACCUAGUAGUGGGGGAUAGCACGGGGAAACUCAUAUUAAUACCGCAUACGACCUACGGGAGAAAGGGGGCAGUUUACUGCUCUCGCUAUUAGAUGAGCCUAAGUCGGAUUAGCUAGAUGGUGGGGUAAAGGCCUACCAUGGCGACGAUCUGUAGCUGGUCUGAGAGGAUGAUCAGCCACACCGGGACUGAGACACGGCCCGGACUCCUACGGGAGGCAGCAGUGGGGAAUAUUGGACAAUGGGGGAAACCCUGAUCCAGCCAUGCCGCGUGUGUGAAGAAGGCCUUUUGGUUGUAAAGCACUUUAAGCAGUGAAGAAGACUCCAUGGUUAAUACCCAUGGACGAUGACAUUAGCUGCAGAAUAAGCACCGGCUAACUCUGUGCCAGCAGCCGCGGUAAU
Molecule: ribosomal RNA, 499 nt
Filed under: uncultured bacterium
Lineage: Bacteria
Description: bacterial SSU rRNA
Rfam family: Bacterial small subunit ribosomal RNA
Source: RNAcentral